Molecule: ribosomal RNA, 305 nt
Filed under: uncultured bacterium
Lineage: Bacteria
Description: bacterial SSU rRNA
Rfam family: Bacterial small subunit ribosomal RNA
Source: RNAcentral
UUUGCCUACGGGGGGCAGCAGUGGGGAAUAUUGGGCAAUGGGCGCAAGCCUGACCCAGCAACGCCGCGUGAAGGAAGAAGGCUUUCGGGUUGUAAACUUCUUUUAAGAGGGAAGAGCAGAAGACGGUACCUCUUGAAUAAGCCACGGCUAACUACGUGCCAGCAGCCGCGGUAAUACGUAGGUGGCAAGCGUUGUCCGGAUUUACUGGGUGUAAAGGGCGUGUAGCCGGGCUGACAAGUCAGAUGUGGAAUCCCGUGGCUCAACCACGGAACUGCAUUUGAAACUGUCGGUCUUGAGUAUCGGAG